Molecule: long non-coding RNA, 378 nt
Organism: Alligator mississippiensis (American alligator)
Lineage: Eukaryota; Metazoa; Chordata; Crocodylia; Alligatoridae
Exons: 3
Source: RefSeq, a predicted model, not a curated record
UAGAUUAUUAAUUUUUGGCUCUAUUAUGCACACACAUUUCCUUGCAAAUGUGUUUCUCCAUAACUGAGCUUUAGGCUCACAGGAGCCUGUCACCUAAUCAUGGAGGGAAAUCGAGUUGGUUUGGCAUGACUUGCCCUUGGUGAAUCCACGCUGACUGUUCCUGAUCUCUGCAAUCAUACUUCAGGUGCCUCAAAGUAGAUUCCAUGAUUUUUCUAGGGGUUGGGAAGGAGGAGAAGCAGCUGGCAGGGAAAACCCUAUGGUGGCAGUGACUGGGAGAAGAGGAACAGCUGGAAGGGAAGAGCCUACACUUAAUUUGCAUAUCUCCACUCUCCUGGUGGCACCCUUCAAAGGCUGUCACAGUACCCAGGGUGCCAUGGC